This 807-nucleotide ribosomal RNA is filed under the name Geminigera cryophila. RNAcentral describes it as "eukaryotic LSU rRNA". It matches the Rfam family "Eukaryotic large subunit ribosomal RNA", at positions 297 to 947 of the family's 3401-position model. RNAcentral also lists the same sequence under 1 other name. The record is from RNAcentral. Lineage: Eukaryota; Cryptophyceae; Pyrenomonadales; Geminigeraceae.
UGGUAUACUUCAUCCAAAGCUAAAUAUGGGCAAGAGACCGAUAGCGAACAAGUACCGUGAGGGAAAGGUGAAAAGAACUUUGAAAAGAGAGUGAAAUAGUGCUUGAAACCGUUGGGAGGAAAGCGAAUGGAGUUGCUAUACGACCAGGGUGUCUCAAUCUGGCACGCAAGUUGGUUCCGGUGUAGUGACCCUGUGUCUACGUUCGUGGAGUGGUACCUGUCCUGGCGCGUGACUAUUCUAUCAGCAAUGAUAAAAUGAGUGCUGACCAGACGACGGUGGUCUCAAAGAAUUUAUACCGAAAAAAAAGAUGAAAAAUCCCAAAAUUCUACAUUUUGAUCAAAAUAUCUUUACUUUGUAAAUACCGCAAGGCAGUUGCAAAAAAAGAUGGAAUUGGACAAAAUAAUGAUAUGACGUGAUUAAUUAUCAAAUAUUUUUUUCGGAUGAUAAUACGGACGGAAGGGCUUCAUUCGACCCGUCUUGAAACACGGACCAAGGAGUCCAGCCUCCACGCAAGUGCUUGGGUGGAAAACCCCAGCGCGCAGUGAAAGUAACAGCGUGAUAAUCUUAAUAAUCAAAAAAGAUUAUUCUGCUACGGCGGGAAUAUGUAUACGCACCGCCAUCCGACCAGCCCUCCUUUUUAGUGGCUGGCUUGUGACUGAGCGUGGAUGCUGGGACCCGAAAGAUGGUGAACUAUGCCCGAGUAGGAUGAAGCCAGAGGAAACUCUGGUGGAGGUCCGAAGGCGUUCUGACGUGCAAAUCGAUGCUCAAACUUGGGUAUAGGGGCGAAAGACCAAUCGAACCAUCUAG